This 240-nucleotide ribosomal RNA is filed under the name uncultured bacterium. RNAcentral describes it as "partial 16S ribosomal RNA". It matches the Rfam family "Bacterial small subunit ribosomal RNA", at positions 96 to 334 of the family's 1533-position model. The record is from RNAcentral.
UGGCGAACGGGUGAGUAACGCGUGAGGAACCUGCCUCAAAGAGGGGGACAACAGUUGGAAACGACUGCUAAUACCGCAUAAGCCCACAGGUCGGCAUCGACCAGAGGGAAAAGGAGCAAUCCGCUUUGAGAUGGCCUCGCGUCCGAUUAGCUAGUUGGUGAGGUAACGGCCCACCAAGGCGACGAUCGGUAGCCGGACUGAGAGGGUGACCGGCCACAUUGGGACUGAGACACGGCCCAA